RNAcentral lists this long non-coding RNA (237 nucleotides) under Lathyrus oleraceus (garden pea). RNAcentral describes it as "Pisum sativum (pea) long non-coding RNA (PSAT_LNC036178)". The record is from RNAcentral. Lineage: Eukaryota; Viridiplantae; Streptophyta; Magnoliopsida; Fabales; Fabaceae.
CGGACAGGAAAAUAAAAGUGAAGGAAUAAAAAAAACCUAGGGUCCAACGUAAGGUUAGAUCCGGUAAAAGAUACACAAUAGUUUCCGGUGUAGAAACUAUUGUGUGAAAAAUUAAUUAAGUACUGAAAGCUUGACUGAAAAAGAAAAUAGAAAUUGCAAAGAAAAGUAAAAACUAUAAAAAAUAAUGCUGUAAAGUAUGCUUGCACGGCUGGAAUAGAAAAAGCACGAAGAAGAGAG